ACGGGGAGCAGCAGGCGCGAAAACUCUACAAUGCAGGCAACUGCGAUAGGGGAACAUCGAGUGAUCCUCAUAUUGGGGGUCUGUCCACCCGCCUAAAAAGCGGGUGUUAGCAAGGGCCGGGCAAGACCGGUGCCAGCCGCCGCGGUAAUACCGGCGGCUCGAGUGGUGGCCGAUAUUAUUGAGUCUAAAGGGUCCGUAGCCGGCUUUGCAAGUCUCUCGGGAAAUCCAGCGGCUUAACCGUUGGUCGUCCGGGGGGUACUACAUUGCUUGGGACUGGGAGAGGUAGGAGGUACUCAGGGGGUAGGAGUGAAAUCCUGUAAUCCUUUGGGGACCACCGGUGGCGAAGGCGUCCUACCAGAACAGGUCCGACGGUGAGGGACGAAAGCUAGGGGCACGAACCGGAUUAGAUACCCGGGUAGUCCUAGCCGUAAACGAUGCUCGCUAGGUGUCACAACAGUCGUGAACUGUUGUGGUGCCGUAGGGAAGCCGUGAAGCGAGCCACUUGGGAAGUACGACCGCAAGGUUGAAACUUAAAGGAAUUGGCGGGGGAGCAC
This 554-nucleotide ribosomal RNA is filed under the name uncultured archaeon. RNAcentral's name for it is "bacterial SSU rRNA". It matches the Rfam family "Archaeal small subunit ribosomal RNA", at positions 325 to 879 of the family's 1478-position model. The record is from RNAcentral.